This 74-nucleotide transfer RNA is filed under the name Arthrobacter phage Atuin. RNAcentral's name for it is "tRNA-Ile". It matches the Rfam family "tRNA". From Rfam's summary of the family: Transfer RNA (tRNA) molecules are approximately 80 nucleotides in length. Lineage: Duplodnaviria; Heunggongvirae; Uroviricota; Caudoviricetes. The record is from RNAcentral.
UCCCGCGUAGCUCAGGGGUGAGAGCGCCUUGCUGAUAACAAGGAGGUCGGUAGUUCGAUUCUACCCGUGGGAAC